This 237-nucleotide ribosomal RNA is filed under the name uncultured Flavobacteriales bacterium. Its description in RNAcentral is "partial 16S ribosomal RNA". It matches the Rfam family "Bacterial small subunit ribosomal RNA", at positions 96 to 334 of the family's 1533-position model. The record is from RNAcentral. Lineage: Bacteria; Pseudomonadati; Bacteroidota; Flavobacteriia; Flavobacteriales.
CGGCGUACGGGUGCGUAACACGUGUGCAACCUGCCUUUAUCUGGGGGAUAGCCUUUCGAAAGGAAGAUUAAUACUCCAUAAUAUAUUGAACGGCAUCGUUUAGUAUUGAAAGCUCCGGCGGAUAGAGAUGGGCACGCGCAAGAUUAGCUAGUUGGUGAGGUAACGGCUCACCAAGGCGAUGAUCUUUAGGGGGCCUGAGAGGGUGAUCCCCCACACUGGUACUGAGACACGGACCAG